This 400-nucleotide ribosomal RNA is filed under the name uncultured bacterium. RNAcentral's name for it is "bacterial SSU rRNA". It matches the Rfam family "Bacterial small subunit ribosomal RNA", at positions 355 to 748 of the family's 1533-position model. The record is from RNAcentral.
UAGGGAAUUUUCGGCAAUGGGGGCAACCCUGACCGAGCGACGCCGCGUGAGUGAAGAAGGUCUUCGGAUCGUAAAGCUCUGUUGUAAGGGAAGAACCGUAUGAAGAGGGAAUGCUUCAUACCUGACGGUACCUUACCAGCAAGCCACGGCUAACUACGUGCCAGCAGCCGCGGUAAUACGUAGGUGGCAAGCGUUAUCCGGAAUUAUUGGGCGUAAAGGGAGCGCAGGCGGUUUAAUAAGUCUGAGGUUAAAGUUCGGGGCUCAACCCCGUGAUGCCUUAGAAACUGUUAGACUAGAGUGCAGGAGAGGUGAGUGGAAUUCCAUGUGUAGCGGUAAAAUGCGUAGAUAUAUGGAGGAACACCAGUGGCGAAGGCGGCUCACUGGCCUGUAACUGACGCUG